UCAUGAAUUGAGCUAAGGUGAGC
RNAcentral lists this non-coding RNA (23 nucleotides) under Arabidopsis thaliana (thale cress). The record is from RNAcentral. Lineage: Eukaryota; Viridiplantae; Streptophyta; Magnoliopsida; Brassicales; Brassicaceae.